GCCCGAGGGGUGGGAACGGGGCCGGGCAGGGGGAGAUAAAGCCGGGAUGAGCAGCCCCGGUGCUCCCAGCCCAGCCCGGAGCUGCUUCCCCCCAUCCCUGUGCCAGGUGAACCUAAUGGCCACAGAAAAAAAGAGCUCAUCUCAGCAUGACCAAGAUGAACAAAUGGAGUCCACAACAACUGUGGCUGAUGGCAGUCUGGCUAAGAAAGGCAUAGCAAAGAUAUUCAAAGGCAUAGAAAUUAUGCUCGAUGAAUCAACAACUGUGGCUGAUGGCAGUCUGGCUAAGAAAGGCAGAUCAAAGAUAUUGAAAGGUGUAGAAAUGAUAAUUGAAACAUUCGGUAAGUGUGCUGGAUCCCAUUGCUCUUGUCAGAGGCCAUCCUUGGGAACCCUUGGGAUGGGAUGGGAUGGGAUGGGAUGGGA
Molecule: long non-coding RNA, 420 nt
Filed under: Lonchura striata (white-rumped munia)
Lineage: Eukaryota; Metazoa; Chordata; Aves; Passeriformes; Estrildidae
Description: domestica (Bengalese finch) lncRNA (ENSLSDG00000005685.1)
Source: RNAcentral